RNAcentral lists this long non-coding RNA (989 nucleotides) under Pan troglodytes (chimpanzee). Its description in RNAcentral is "long non-coding RNA NONPTRT017526". The record is from RNAcentral. Lineage: Eukaryota; Metazoa; Chordata; Mammalia; Primates; Hominidae.
GGCCUGUCAAAAACUGGCGCUUUUUUCCUCCCCUUUCCGUGGAGAGACUAUCAACUCCAUCUGUCACAAAAAUUAAGGCUAAAUCUCCUCUCCAGAAGCAGAGGGAGCCGGGGCUCCGACGCGCUCAGCGUCGGGCUGUCCGCCUCUCCCUAGAGGCCAAGUGAAUUUGAAAUGGCAAAAGUCACAGCCGGAGGCCCAGCACUAGGAGAUUCCUCCGGCUGCGGGAAGUCUUCCUGUACCUGCUGAAGCUGCUGCGUCCCUCAGAGGCGCUUGGUCUGCCGUGGGAAGCUGCACCUCUGCAGUCCCCAAAACCAAAAUCAAACCUUAAAAGAGCCAGACUGAGAAGCCAGUCACCACGUAAGACAUCUGGACCACCUUCAGACUCGCAUGCUGUGAGGAAGCCCAUGCUUACUAUGUGUAGAGGAUACAUGGAGAAGGAAAGAGAUGCCUGGCCAGCUCCCUGCUGUUUCAGCCAUGUGAGUGAAGAAGGCACCAGACUUGUGAGUGGAGACACUAACUUGGAUGUCCAGCCCAGUUGAACCUUCAGAUGACUCCAGCUCUAGCUGCCAUCCUACUGAAGACACAUGAGAGAGACCCCAAGCCAGGGUCAAGAUCAGCGUGAAGCAAGUGAGGCAUUUUGGUGCAAAAUGUAAGGAGGCAUUGACCUUCAUAAUUGGGCUCCAAGACUCCAAGAGUGAGUGCCUCCUUAAAUUUUGUACUUUAGACACUACACUCACCUUUCUCUAGUUCUGGUCUUGCCUCAAGCAAGAAGAGCAGAGCUUAGCUCAGUCAACCCAAAGAAUCCUAAGAAAUAACAAAAAAAAUUCUUUUAAGCCACUCAGUUUUGAGAUGGUUUGUUAUGCAACAAUAGAGCAUUAGAACUUUUCUUCCUGUCCAAUUGCUUAGGUGAAAGAUGCUAGUAUCCACCUGAAUUCUUUCCUUUUCUUCACAUUCUACAUUCAAUUAAUGGCUCAUCAUAGGUGUCAAUA